This 274-nucleotide ribosomal RNA is filed under the name uncultured bacterium. Its description in RNAcentral is "partial 16S ribosomal RNA". It matches the Rfam family "Bacterial small subunit ribosomal RNA", at positions 523 to 796 of the family's 1533-position model. The record is from RNAcentral.
AUACGAGGGGUGCAAGCGUUAAUCGGAAUUACUGGGCGUAAAGCGUUCGUAGGCGGUUUGUUAAGCAAGAUGUGAAAGCCCAGGGCUCAACCUUGGAACUGCAUUUUGAACUGGCAAACUAGAGUACUGUAGAGGGUGGUGGAAUUUCCAGUGUAGCGGUGAAAUGCGUAGAGAUUGGAAGGAACAUCAGUGGCGAAGGCGGCCACCUGGACAGAUACUGACGCUGAGGAACGAAAGCGUGGGGAGCGAACAGGAUUAGAAACCCUAGUAGUCC